CAGAUUAUCUCCGGCUUGAGCAGCUGUGAGUCAGAGAUUGGAGUUAUCAGAUAGUAAACGUCUCCUCCUCCUCAGACCUGCGCAGGAGUCCUCGUCUGAAGCAGUUUUCUCGCCGUCACUCGUUCUACUCCAGCUCGCAGCCUCGCUCUCGGAACCUGGACCGGGCUCUGGCCUCGUCGCUCUGCUCCGUGGACGUGAGGACGGUGCGCUCCCCCAUGAGGCUGCUGUUCGGAGCCGCCCAGAGCCCGAGCAGAGGAGGGGAGGGCAGGGCCAGGCUGUCCACCGGCUCCAGCGUCUUCGAGAGUCCUAAUAAAACGCCCACGAAGUCUCCGAGUCAAAGAGGUUUAAAUGGAAACACGAGUCCGAAAACUCCUCCAGCUUCAGGGAUGAGGUUCAGCGAGAGCCCAGCGUUUAACACACGCAGCAGCCCGUUCCACUCCCCCACCACCAGAGGGAGCCCGUUCCACUCCCCCACCACCAGAGCGUUCCACUCCCCCACCAAGAGCCGUUCCACUCCCCCACCACCAGAGGGAGCCCGUUCCACUCCCCCUCCCGGCCAGUGC
This 563-nucleotide long non-coding RNA is filed under the name Neogobius melanostomus (round goby). Its description in RNAcentral is "lncRNA (ENSNMLG00000021777.1)". Lineage: Eukaryota; Metazoa; Chordata; Actinopteri; Gobiiformes; Gobiidae. The record is from RNAcentral.